RNAcentral lists this ribosomal RNA (247 nucleotides) under uncultured bacterium. Its description in RNAcentral is "partial 16S ribosomal RNA". It matches the Rfam family "Bacterial small subunit ribosomal RNA", at positions 526 to 771 of the family's 1533-position model. The record is from RNAcentral.
CGUAGGUGGCGAGCGUUGUCCGGAAUUAUUGGGCGUAAAGGGAGCGCAGGCGGGAGGUCAAAGUCUAUCUUAAAAAGUGCGGGGCUCAACCCCGUGAGGGGAUGGAAACUGGUCUUCUUGAGUGCAGGAGAGGAAAGCGGAAUUCCUAGUGUAGCGGUGAAAUGCGUAGAUAUUAGGAGGAACACCAGUGGCGAAGGCGGCUUUCUGGACUGUAACUGACGCUGAGGCUCGAAAGCGUGGGGAGCGA